AGCAGUAGCCGCGGUAAGACAGAGGGUGCAAACGUUGUUCGGAAUUACUGGGCGUAAAGCGAGUGUAGGCGGUUCGGUAAGUCGGAUGUGAAAGCCCCGGGCUCAACCCGGGAAGUGCACUCGAUACUACCAAGCUAGAGUACUGGAGAGGUUGGUGGAAUUCUCGGUGUAGAGGUGAAAUUCGUAGAUAUCGAGAGGAACACCGGUGGCGAAGGCGGCCAACUGGACAGAUACUGACGCUGAGACUCGAAAGCGUGGGGAGCAAACAGGAUUAGAUACCCCCGUAGUCCCUGUCUCUUAUAC
Molecule: ribosomal RNA, 303 nt
Filed under: uncultured bacterium
Lineage: Bacteria
Description: partial 16S ribosomal RNA
Rfam family: Bacterial small subunit ribosomal RNA
Source: RNAcentral